RNAcentral lists this ribosomal RNA (916 nucleotides) under uncultured archaeon. RNAcentral's name for it is "SSU rRNA". It matches the Rfam family "Archaeal small subunit ribosomal RNA", at positions 1 to 923 of the family's 1478-position model. The record is from RNAcentral.
UUUCCGGUUGAUCCUGCCGGACCUGACUGCUAUCGGAUUGAUACUAAGCCAUGCGAGUCUUUGUAGUAAUACAAGGCAUACGGCUCAGUAACGCGUAGUCAACCUACCCUAUGGACAAGAAUAAUCUCGGGAAACUGAGCAUAAUUCUUGAUAGAUCAUAAUGCCUGGAAUGGUUUAUGGUUAAAAUGAUUCGUCGCCAUAGGAUGGGACUGCGGCCUAUCAGCUUGUUGGUGAGGUAAUGGCCCACCAAGGCGAUUACAGGUACGGGCUCUGAGAGGAGAAGCCCGGAGAUGGGUACUGAGACAAGGACCCAGGCCCUAUGGGGCGCAGCAGGCGAGAAAACUUUGCAAUGUGCGAAAGCACGACAAGGUUAGUCCGAGUGAUUUCUGCUAAAGAGAUCUUUUGCUAGUUAUAAAACCACUAGUGAAUAAGGGGUGGGCAAGUUCUGGUGUCAGCCGCCGCGGUAAAACCAGCACCUCAAGUGGUCAGGAUGAUUAUUGGGCCUAAAGCAUCCGUAGCCGGCUCUGUAAGUUUUCGGUUAAAUCUAUGCGCUCAACGUAUGGGCUGCCGAAAAUACUGUAGAGAUAGGGAGUGGGAGAGGUAGACGGUACUCGGUAGGAAGGGGUAAAAUCCUUUGAUCUAUCGAUGACCACCUGUGGCGAAGGCGGUCUACCAGAACACGUUCGACGGUGAGGGAUGAAAGCUGGGGGAGCAAACCGGAUUAGAUACCCGGGUAGUCCCAGCUGUAAACGAUGCAGACUCGAUGAUGCAUUGGCAUAUAGCCAGUGCAGUGUCGCAGGGAAGCCGUUAAGUCUGCCGCCUGGGAAGUACGUACGCAAGUAUGAAACUUAAAGGAAUUGGCGGGGGAGCACCACAAGGGGUGAAGCCUGCGGUUCAAUUGGAUUCAACGCCGGAA